UUUAUGGAGAGUUUGAUCCUGGCUCAGGAUGAACGCUGGCGGCGUGCCUAAUACAUGCAAGUCGAGCGAACGGACGAGAAGCUUGCUUCUCUGAUGUUAGCGGCGGACGGGUGAGUAACACGUGGAUAACCUACCUAUAAGACUGGGAUAACUUCGGGAAACCGGAGCUAAUACCGGAUAAUAUUUUGAACCGCAUGGUUCAAAAGUGAAAGACGGUCUUGCUGUCACUUAUAGAUGGAUCCGCGCUGCAUUAGCUAGUUGGUAAGGUAACGGCUUACCAAGGCAACGAUGCAUAGCCGACCUGAGAGGGUGAUCGGCCACACUGGAACUGAGACACGGUCCAGACUCCUACGGGAGGCAGCAGUAGGGAAUCUUCCGCAAUGGGCGAAAGCCUGACGGAGCAACGCCGCGUGAGUGAUGAAGGUCUUCGGAUCGUAAAACUCUGUUAUUAGGGAAGAACAUAUGUGUAAGUAACUGUGCACAUCUUGACGGUACCUAAUCAGAAAGCCACGGCUAACUACGUGCCAGCAGCCGCGGUAAUACGUAGGUGGCAAGCGUUAUCCGGAAUUAUUGGGCGUAAAGCGCGCGUAGGCGGUUUUUUAAGUCUGAUGUGAAAGCCCACGGCUCAACCGUGGAGGGUCAUUGGAAACUGGAAAACUUGAGUGCAGAAGAGGAAAGUGGAAUUCCAUGUGUAGCGGUGAAAUGCGCAGAGAUAUGGAGGAACACCAGUGGCGAAGGCGACUUUCUGGUCUGUAACUGACGCUGAUGUGCGAAAGCGUGGGGAUCAAACAGGAUUAGAUACCCUGGUAGUCCACGCCGUAAACGAUGAGUGCUAAGUGUUAGGGGGUUUCCGCCCCUUAGUGCUGCAGCUAACGCAUUAAGCACUCCGCCUGGGGAGUACGACCGCAAGGUUGAAACUCAAAGGAAUUGACGGGGACCCGCACAAGCGGUGGAGCAUGUGGUUUAAUUCGAAGCAACGCGAAGAACCUUACCAAAUCUUGACAUCCUUUGACAACUCUAGAGAUAGAGCUUUCCCCUUCGGGGGACAAAGUGACAGGUGGUGCAUGGUUGUCGUCAGCUCGUGUCGUGAGAUGUUGGGUUAAGUCCCGCAACGAGCGCAACCCUUAAGCUUAGUUGCCAUCAUUAAGUUGGGCACUCUAAGUUGACUGCCGGUGACAAACCGGAGGAAGGUGGGGAUGACGUCAAAUCAUCAUGCCCCUUAUGAUUUGGGCUACACACGUGCUACAAUGGACAAUACAAAGGGCAGCGAAACCGCGAGGUCAAGCAAAUCCCAUAAAGUUGUUCUCAGUUCGGAUUGUAGUCUGCAACUCGACUACAUGAAGCUGGAAUCACUAGUAAUCGUAGAUCAGCAUGCUACGGUGAAUACGUUCCCGGGUCUUGUACACACCGCCCGUCACACCACGAGAGUUUGUAACACCCGAAGCCGGUGGAGUAACCUUUUAGGAGCUAGCCGUCGAAGGUGGGACAAAUGAUUGGGGUGAAGUCGUAACAAGGUAGCCGUAUCGGAAGGUGCGGCUGGAUCACCUCCUUU
This 1552-nucleotide ribosomal RNA is filed under the name Staphylococcus aureus. RNAcentral's name for it is "16S ribosomal RNA". It matches the Rfam family "Bacterial small subunit ribosomal RNA". The record is from RNAcentral. Lineage: Bacteria; Bacillati; Bacillota; Bacilli; Caryophanales; Staphylococcaceae.